GACGAACGCUGGCGGCGUGCUUAACACAUGCAAGUCGAACGGCAGCGCACUUAGGGGUUCUCGAGUGGCGAACGGAUGAGUAACACGUGGAUGAACAGCCCUGCACUUUGGGAUAAGCCUGGGAUACUGGAUCUAAUCCCGCAUAAGAACCCGCGCCUCCUGGUGUGUGGUGGAAAGCUGUUGCGGGGUGGGAUGGGCGCGGGGCUUAUCAGCUUGUUGGUGGGGGAAUGGCCUACCAAGGCGCCGACGGGUGGCCGGCCUGAGAGGGUGAGCGGCCACACGGGGACUGCGAGACGGCCCAGACGCGUACGGGAGGCAGCAGUCGGGAAUAUUGCACAAUGGGCGCAAGCCUGUGGCAGCGACGUCGGGGUAGGGAUGACGGCCUUCGGGGUGUAAACCGCUGUCAAUAGGUACGAAGCGGAAGUGACGGUACCUAUAGAAGAAGCACCGGCUAACUACGUG
Molecule: ribosomal RNA, 462 nt
Filed under: uncultured bacterium
Lineage: Bacteria
Description: partial 16S ribosomal RNA
Rfam family: Bacterial small subunit ribosomal RNA
Source: RNAcentral